UUGAAUGGCUUUUUAAUAUAUUCUUUAGGAUUAUGUCUGCAGAUAAACCACAAACAUUUUUUACUGAUCAAGAUCCUGCUAUAUCUUCUGCUAUCUCAUUAGUAAUGCCAUAGACGUAUCAUCGCCUUUGUGUAUGGCACUUGGAAAAGAAUGAGUUUAAACAUCUUAGUCAUAUUUUUAGAGAUAAUGCAUCAUUUCCAAAAGAUUUUAGCAAAUUGCUUUAUGGUUAUGAGUAUGAAGAGGAUUUCUUAAGUGCAUGGCAGGAAAUGCUUGACAAAUAUGAUCUUGCGGAUAACAGCUGUCUGAAAACCACAUUUGCUAUAAGAGAGAAAUCGUCCAUGACAUACGGAAGAAAUACAUUCUCAGCAGGACGUGACAGAAGGAAGCUUUCAUCCAUUGUGUCCUUCUCAGUUGUCUCAGGGAUAUUCAUCUAAUGAAAGUUUGACUCAACUCUUAAGAGAUGUUUCAUUUCCUGAUUUUAACAAGUAUUCUCAACAUUGAUUGCGGCAGCUUCAUCAAAGCAGAGGUUACAUGGUGAUGGUGAUUUAAGUGAUCAUAAUCAUGAUCUCAAAGUCGAGAUGUAUACUUCUUUGGCAUAGUUAUUUUCUUUCAUAGAUUUUAUUCCAGUGUGCAAUUGACUUUUGCAUCUGUGAAUUAAGUUUUUUCUUUCCAUUUUUUGGCGUCAAGGCCAUAACCCACUCGUGGUAGUUGAAAUUUGUUUUC
Solanum stenotomum is the source of this 723-nucleotide long non-coding RNA. RefSeq lists it as uncharacterized. The transcript is spliced from 3 exons. The record is from RefSeq and is a predicted model, not a curated record. NCBI's taxonomy places the organism in Eukaryota, Viridiplantae, Streptophyta, Magnoliopsida, Solanales, Solanaceae.